Molecule: ribosomal RNA, 779 nt
Filed under: Pseudosperma mimicum
Lineage: Eukaryota; Fungi; Basidiomycota; Agaricomycetes; Agaricales; Inocybaceae
Description: eukaryotic LSU rRNA
Rfam family: Eukaryotic large subunit ribosomal RNA
Source: RNAcentral
UUGACCUCAAAUCAGGUAGGACUACCCGCUGAACUUAAGCAUAUCAAUAAGCGGAGGAAAAGAAACUAACAAGGAUUCCCCUAGUAACUGCGAGUGAAGCGGGAAAAGCUCAAAUUUAAAAUCUGUUGGCCAUUGGUCAUCCGAGUUGUAAUCUAGAGAAGUGUUACCUGUGCUGGACCGUGUACAAGUCUUCUGGAAUGGAGCAUCACAGAGGGUGAGAAUCCCGUCUUUGACAUGGACUACCAGUGCUUUUGUGGUAUGCUCUCAAAGAGUCGAGUUGUUUGGGAAUGCAGCUCAAAAUGGGUGGUAAAUGCCAUCUAAAGCUAAAUAUUGGCGAGAGACCGAUAGCGAACAAGUACCGUGAGGGAAAGAUGAAAAGAACUUUGGAAAGAGAGUUAAACAGUACGUGAAAUUGCUGAAAGGGAAACGCUUGAAGUCAGUCUCGUUGACUUGAAAUCAACCCUGUUUCUGCUGGGUGUAUUUUCUUGUCAAUGGGUCAGCAUCAAUUUUGGCCGUUGGAUAAAGUUGUUGGGAAUGUGGCAUCCUUGGAUGUGUUAUAGCCUAAUGAUGCAUACAGCGGUUGGGAUUGAGGAACUCAGCACACCACAAUGGCCGGGUUUUGACCACGUCUGUGCUUAGGAUGCUGGCAUAAUGGCUUUAAUCGACCCGUCUUGAAACACGGACCAAGGAGUCUAACAUGCCUGCAAGUGUUUGGGUGGAAAACCCAUGCGCGUAAUGAAAGUGAAAGUUGAGAUCCCUUUUGGGAGCAUCGACGCCCG